GACGAACGCUGGCGGCGUGCCUAAUACAUGCAAGUUGAGCGCUGAAGGUUGGUACUUGUACCAACUGGAUGAGCAGCGAACGGGUGAGUAACGCGUGGGGAAUCUGCCUUUGAGCGGGGGACAACAUUUGGAAACGAAUGCUAAUACCGCAUAAAAACUUUAAACACAAGUUUUAAGUUUGAAAGAUGCAAUUGCAUCACUCAAAGAUGAUCCCGCGUUGUAUUAGCUAGUUGGUGAGGUAAAGGCUCACCAAGGCGAUGAUACAUAGCCGACCUGAGAGGGUGAUCGGCCAAAUUGGGACUGAGAAACGGCCCAAAAUGCUACGGGAGGCAGCAGUAGGGAAUCUUCGGCAAUGGACGAAAGUCUGACCGAGCAACGCCGCGUGAGUGAAGAAGGUUUUCGGAUCGUAAAACUCUGUUGGUAGAGAAGAACGAUGGUGAGAGUGGAAAGCUCAUCAAGUGACGGUAACUACACAGAAAGGGACGGCUAACUACGUG
RNAcentral lists this ribosomal RNA (497 nucleotides) under uncultured bacterium. RNAcentral describes it as "partial 16S ribosomal RNA". It matches the Rfam family "Bacterial small subunit ribosomal RNA", at positions 28 to 507 of the family's 1533-position model. The record is from RNAcentral.